AUUGAACGCUGGCGGCAUGCUUUACACAUGCAAGUCGAACGGCAGCGCGGGGCAACCUGGCGGCGAGUAGCGAACGGGUGAGUAAUAUAUCGGAACGUACCCAGAAGUGGGGGAUAACGUAGCGAAAGUUACGCUAAUACCGCAUACGAUCUACGGAGGAAAGUAGGGGACCGCAAGGCCUUAUGCUUUUGGAGCGGCCGAUAUCUGAUUAGCUAGUUGGUGAGGUAAAGGCUCACCAAGGCGACGAUCAGUAGCUGGUCUGAGAGGACGACCAGCCACACUGGAACUGAGACACGGUCCAGACUCCUACGGGAGGCAGCAGUGGGGAAUUUUGGACAAUGGGCGCAAGCCUGAUCCAGCAAUGCCGCGUGAGUGAAGAAGGCCUUCGGGUUGUAAAGCUCUUUUGUCAGGGAAGAAACGGUAGAGGCUAAUAUCCUUUGCUAAUGACGGUACCUGAAGAAUAAGCACCGGCUAACUACGUG
This 482-nucleotide ribosomal RNA is filed under the name uncultured bacterium. RNAcentral describes it as "partial 16S ribosomal RNA". It matches the Rfam family "Bacterial small subunit ribosomal RNA", at positions 30 to 507 of the family's 1533-position model. The record is from RNAcentral.